AAUAAGCUUAUUAAUAGUUAGUAAGGUUAGCUGUUGUAGUGGUAAAAUUCAGGUAUUGGGUAGGAUUAACCAUUGACUGGACGGAGAUGUUAUGGAUAUGAGCGACGGCACUCAAACGAUCAUCUAACGUUGAAUCAGAUGAAGACUGGACAAGAUGACAGCAGGAGAGGAACCCUACCAGCAGAAGAUAAGAUGUUAUAGCUAAAUAGAUAUACUAAAUAGUUUGACAUAUAAUAGUGUGAGAUAUAUAGCCUUUUUGCCAAAUCGCGAUUGUCAUAAUGUGUUGCAUGUUGCCAACAACAUCUAAGAAAUAUAAUUAUAAAAUUUGUAAAUAGUUUGAGAUAUAUAGUGUGAGUUCUAAUAAUAAAUUGUUUUAAUACCAUAGCAUUUUGUAUCUUUAUUUGGACAAAAUUUAGUUUCAAGAAUUGAAGAAACACUAUAAUGUGUUAAUGCUUCAGUUACUAUAUGUCAGCAAUAUUUGACAGUAAAUCUGUAUAAGGGAUAGAAUAGCUCUAAGUGUAACCUUUCAUUAGAGCCCAAAAUUAUGACUGUACAUUAAAGCAUUGAAGAAUAACAGCCUUUUAUGUGUUGAUGGUUCCAAAGGGCCAUUUGGAGUCUCCAAGUGGCUUUUUUUGGGGAGCGCCUAGACAUAAACUCAAAUAAACAUGUGUAAAACACU
This is a long non-coding RNA of Megalobrama amblycephala (Wuchang bream), 679 nucleotides long. RefSeq lists it as uncharacterized. Lineage: Eukaryota; Metazoa; Chordata; Actinopteri; Cypriniformes; Xenocyprididae. The record is from RefSeq and is a predicted model, not a curated record. The transcript has 2 exons.